UGCAUACCUCAAAAGCGGAGGAAAAGAAACCAACAGGGAUUGCCUUAGUAACGGCGAGUGAGCGGCAAAAGCUCAAAUUUGAAAUCUGGCACCUUCGGUGUCCGAGUUGUAAUUUGAAGAAGGUAACUUUGGAGUUAGCUCUUGUCUAUGUUCCUUGGAACAGGACGUCACAGAGGGUGAGAAUCCCGUGCGAUGAGAUGUCUAACUCUAUGUAAAGUGCUUUCGAAGAGUCGAGUUGUUUGGGAAUGCAGCUCUAAGUGGGUGGUAAAUUCCAUCUAAAGCUAAAUAUUGGCGAGAGACCGAUAGCGAACAAGUACAGUGAUGGAAAGAUGAAAAGAACUUUGAAAAGAGAGUGAAAAAGUACGUGAAAUUGUUGAAAGGGAAGGGUUUGAGAUCAGACUUGGUAUUUUGUAUGUCUUGCUUUCGGGUGGGGCCUCUGCAGUUUACUGGGCCAGCAUCGGUUUGGAUGGUAGGAUAAUGACAUUGGAAUGUGGCACUACUUCGGUGGUGUGUUAUAGACUUUGUUGAUACUGCCUGUCUAGACCGAGGACUGCGUCUUUGACUAGGAUGCUGGCAUAAUGAUCCUAAACCGCCCGUCUUGAAGACACGAGAACCA
This 616-nucleotide ribosomal RNA is filed under the name Scheffersomyces tanahashii. Its description in RNAcentral is "partial large subunit ribosomal RNA". It matches the Rfam family "Eukaryotic large subunit ribosomal RNA", at positions 37 to 664 of the family's 3401-position model. The record is from RNAcentral. Lineage: Eukaryota; Fungi; Ascomycota; Pichiomycetes; Serinales; Debaryomycetaceae.